CACGGCGUCUUCACCGGCGAUUGGAUCUGAGCUCUCGUCUCUGGUUCCUCCGUGCUGACGGCGUCAUCACAGCGAACCACACCGGAGUCAACUGCACCACGAGGAGUCGUCGUCCUCGAUCUCGCCCUCCUCCCUCUCCUCCGCGCCCGCUGACGCGUGCCGCGUCUCGUGUCCUCGGCCAUGCCAGCGGCAGCGAUGCGGUCUGGCGUCGGCGCCGACCGAGUUCCCGUCUUCUCCCCUGCAUCGCGAGCGCAGUGCCGGCCUGCCUACGUCGGGGUUGCUCGCCACAUGGCCGACCCAGAGCUGACGCAACUUGAUAUUGGAGCAAUAAUGAAAGCCUUCACAUCUGCUUAUGUGGUUGCACUGCUUAUGCUGGACAUUGUUUAUCAGGUGCAAUUCUAAGGCUUUAUGGAUCUGGACGAGUUGAUGUGAUAAUGGUACAGGAAGUGAUGCCGUACUCUCAUCUCAUACAUUGACCAAGACUAGAGGAUGUGAGUUCUCUCACUAUCUGUUUCUCCUUAGGUGGUUAAUUCUGCUGAUAUGGAAACAUGUUUUUCUCUUUCAGUUUGUAACCACUGCUGCACUGCCCUUUCUACAGUUCUUUCACCUUAGAAAUAUUAUUUUCUUUUAGGUUUGCAAGGAUUCUAUAUUUCACGUAAUUUGAUGCACACUACUAAUUCUGCACUAUGUGACUCUUCUUUGCCACGACACAGUUCUAAGCACUUCUCAAAGUAUGCAUAAUUGCAUAUUGACACUUUGUACAGCUUGAGAGUAGGGGGCUGCUUCAGGAUCUGCUAUUUAGUUAUAGUAUUAUUUUGGCAUAAUUACUUAGUGUUUGAUGAACAAAUUUUUAGCGUGAGCAUGGCUGUGGUCAUGGUUUAUUUACCAGUUUGGUUUGUCUAUUGUUUCUACAUCUUUACCGAAUUGACAUAUUGUUCAAAGUACCACUUUGGUAAGUCCGUUGUUGCCCCAUCUUCUCUUCUCAUGAAGAUAUGUACAAUACUAAUUCCCAGUUUCCGAACCUUAUCUAAUGUUUUCACACUUCAGUUUUUUCUCAAAUAUUUAUGUUGUUCUUUCUACAUGAUGGAUGGGCACAAACACACCUUAUGUUAUUGGUGAAGCGCUGCUAGAGGCCUUGCAAAUGCUGUAGCAGCUGAUUAUCCAGUUUUGACAUAGACGGACAUGGAUUCCCAAAGCAUUAUAAUCAAAAUCAAGGAGAUGAUAGAAUCAAGAAACAUGGACGGACAUGGAUUCCCAAAGCAAACUAGAAAAUCGAGGAACAUGUGAUUAGAUAAGGCACCGGGAAGGAGUAGAAAUUAGAACCAUCAAAGAACCAAAAUCAGAAUCAGGAGAAGAAAAGGCAUUGGACAACUUGCCUUCUUUUUUCACCACAGGUCUCGAACCUAUUUUUUCAUAUGGAAAUGACUUGUGACGCAUUUUAUUGAAUAUCAAAGUAAAUUACAUUGCUGAAUACUGAAGGCAAAACCGUUGGGAUUCUCUACUGUCACACCAUGACGCUUUGCAUUUGCUUUGAUUUCUAGCGAUGCUAUGCUGCCCAUAGAGAAAGUAGUUACGUUGAUGUACAAUAUUUUUCCUUGGUCCAUUUUCUCAGUUUAUCUCGGACCAUUCUACUACGAAUGAAUACUUAUAUCCCCUUUACAUG
This is a long non-coding RNA of Triticum aestivum (bread wheat), 1663 nucleotides long. RefSeq lists it as uncharacterized. The record is from RefSeq and is a predicted model, not a curated record. The transcript has 3 exons. NCBI's taxonomy places the organism in Eukaryota, Viridiplantae, Streptophyta, Magnoliopsida, Poales, Poaceae.